Long non-coding RNA from Stomoxys calcitrans (stable fly), 2145 nucleotides. RefSeq lists it as uncharacterized. The transcript is spliced from 4 exons. Lineage: Eukaryota; Metazoa; Arthropoda; Insecta; Diptera; Muscidae. The record is from RefSeq and is a predicted model, not a curated record.
GUUUCAGUUCAUAUUCGAGCUUAGAGUCUGACGCACACAUUGCGACGCGACGGUUGCCACUGUGUUUCAUAUCAUCGGUGUAGGAUUCGCACGACAUAGAUUUACGCGUUCUACUAUACGGCCGUUAGUUUGUUUGUUUUCUGCUAUUCGGGUAUCGAAUUUCUGUCAUUCUUCGAAUACUGUUUGGUCGCCCAUAGAUCACGUUUGAUUGAAUUGUAAACGUGUGAGAGAGUGUUCAUAGGAAGCAAAUGAAGCUUCGAUGGAAAAGGUAAAAAAGUGAAAAAAAACCCAAAGAAUACGACAAAAAUUCUUAAAAAGAGGUGCAGAAAUCGUGACAUAGACACGCAAUUAAGAAUUGCAGAACUCAACAACAACAACAACAACAGCAAAAUCGGCAACAACAUCAACAAUUAAAUCGACAACGACAUUUUGAUGGAAAAACAAUCGAGAGCGUCGCAAACAACCGAUAACGUUAUGGAAAAAAGUUAACAAAUUAAAUAACAACGACAAGUGUUGGAGCAAACUCUUCAGCACACCCGACAGUGUGUGUCCUCCGACGGUGGCUGUAGCAAAAGUUGCCAAAAAAAUCAUAGCCAAACGGGCCAAAAGCAAUAGCCAGCCAACCUGCUAGCCAGCAAGUCAGCAGCAUAAGAUUGGCAACAAAAACACGAGCAACAGCAGCAACGUUCGAAUUCCAAUAGAAAUCGGUAAAAGUGUCUUUUAUUUUGGCUUGUUUGUGUAAUUUUCAAAGUGAAAACAAAGCAAGGAAGAUAAACAAGACGCGCGCUAACCUGCCCUCUGCUUGCGAAUCGAGCAUGAAACCAAAGCGAAAUUGUAUUUUAAUGUGUUGUGACUAGAGUGUGCUGGAAAAGACCAAGUGGCAAAGUUGUUUUCUUGCCCCAGUCCUCCGUUUGCGCAUUUGCACCACGAGGACUCGUAAGUGGAGGAUCCUUUUGCACACACGCACACACAAACACUUAUGAACUAUAUGCGUGGUGACAACACACACGCACUUAAAUAACAGCACCCACAUGGCCAUGGCAGCGUCGCACAGGAUCUAGUGUUUGACCUCGUUAUUUUGUCGUCAAAAAGUUCCGACACUCGUUACCAACAACAACAGCAAGGCGCGUAACCAAGUUGGACUGUUAGAGCAUCGCCAACGUAUUCCACAGAAACCAGAACGCCAAAUAAUUUCUCCCACUCCUGCAGCCGUCUGGUCGCUUGGCCGACAACGACAUUUGUCGGGAACGCAAAGUUUUGUGUUUACAAAAGUUUUUCUGUUGUCGCAGCAACCAAAGGACUUCCUCCCACUCACUCAGCCAUCCAUCAGCCUGCAGUGAUUGCUGUUGCUGUUGUUAUUACGUUGAGUGUGGACCACACUGUGGCAGUUCUUACUUAUCCUCGUCACUUUGGGCCCCCGAGCAAGCAAGCUCUUCUCUCACUUCCACUCGAGGCGACUCUGGCCGCUAUGGCAUUGUUAUGAAAUGCGCAAACAAAUGUAUAUCGAUUUUGUAUCUUUUAUCUGUGCCCCACACUGUGUCUGUGUGCGUUCGAUUGCCAUUCCUUGUGCCAACUGAGCACUGCUGUUGCCGGGAGUAAGAACAGAGGGGACUAGAAAAACACCAAAGGAUAAGAAAGCACAACAAAACCCACAAAAAAAAAGGCACGAAAACAGGCAACCGCUCUUUGACCCCGGUAAUCCUUCAUCCGUUUAAAAACGUAAACAACCAUUUUGUACGCCUUGGGCAUCUAUCCGCUCGGAGAAACCACCAAAAUUGCUGAGUUCAUUCAAUUAAAUCAUAUCGACGGCGGUGGUACUCUCCCCAGUACCAUCAACAACAGCCUCAACAUUUCGGCCACCAACGUCAAAAUCAACAACAACAACUUGGUAUUUCUACGUCUUUAAAAUUUGGUGUAUGCCCUGUUAAAGUGCAAUGUGCUGCAAGUGCAGUUUUUUUGUUCUAAAGUUGUUUCCCCAUAUGUCAUUGGACAUAAAUUUGCUUCAUCCCGGUUACAUUUAAUCUUAUAAACUACAUUUGAUUUGUCCUCCUUUUUCAUCAUUGAUUUAGUCCUGCUGAAUGGACUAUUUAAUGUGUUGUGGCUCUUUAAGGCAAGCUGGUAUUUUCCCCUGAAGUACAUAUUUGA